This is a long non-coding RNA of Cyprinus carpio carpio, 3410 nucleotides long. The record is from Ensembl. Lineage: Eukaryota; Metazoa; Chordata; Actinopteri; Cypriniformes; Cyprinidae.
AAAUGUAAUAGCAUUUUAAUUUAUAUAUAUAUAUAUAUAUAUAUAUAUAUAUAUAUAUAUAUAUAUAUAUAUAUAUAUAUAUAUAUAUAUAUAUAAAUAUAUGUGUGUGUGUAUAUAUAUAUAUAUAUAUAUAUACGUGUGUGUGUGUAUAUGUAAAAGAUUGACAAAAACAUGUGAACAAUGAAGGAAAAAGAUCUACAACAUUUAAAAAUGCACUUCUUGCUGAUAUUAUCUCCUGUUUGCUGGUCACGUUGUGAAUAUUGACAGCAAGCUGGAGUGCCUUUUGUGUAUGCUGUAUUAACUGUUUGUUUGUAAAAAUGGGGCCCUGAACUGUACGUUUCCAUCUCAGACAUUUUGGGCCUUUAUGCUGUAUAAACAUUCUUUUUCUUUCUUUCUUUCUUUCUUUCUUUCUUUCUUUCUUUCUUUCUUUCUUUUUUUUUUCUUUUGGGAAAAGACAUUUCAACAGAUGUCUUAAGAUACUAAAGUUGUUCAUUGACUUAUUUUUUUUGUCUGUUUCUGGGUGGGGGUGGGGGGUGGAUGGGGGGUCACUGUUGCCUGUGUAUGUAACUGCCUUGUUCCAAACUCAGUCGUGGCUAGCUGACAGUGAACCACAAUGUGGCUGUAAUUCCAAACAGCCAAACAUCACAAGAAGUCUCUGGUGACACUCUAGGUAGACUAAAGCUAAACAUUAUCCUGUAUAUUAUAAUGCUCAUUAUGUAGAAAAAUGCUAUCAGAUAUCUGAUUCCUUCCCUUUUGAAUCUACUGGGUAAAAUAUAAUUUGAAAUAAGCAAUAGACCUUGAUCCUUACAGUGUAUCAUUCGAGAGAAUUUGCCUAAGUAAAAAAAUAAAAAAACGAAAGACUGAUUAAUGAUAGAUAUGAACCAAAUAGUCUUACUGGAUAAGCAUGUUUAAAAUGAAAUGACACAGAACAUACAUGCAGUAUUUGUGUAUACCUAUGUUGAAACCCAUAAUUAUGAACCAUGUUUUUGUCUCUGUGCAAAGAAUGAAAAAUCAUAAACAUAUCAAAAGAUAUAUCUUUACCGAUACUUGAAUUAAAGUGUGUCAAUUGUAAAAUGUGAAUUUAUUUUUUCUUCAGUUUUUGUUUGGGUCUGACACUUUCAAGUUAUUGUAUAACAUGCUCACAAGGUAUAACAUUCUUCCCGAGGAAAAAAAAAAAAAUGUGAAAAAAAAGUUUGAAUGGUUCUGUGUGUGUGCUCUCUAAUCACUGCUUCUCGUCACGGGGCGACUGUCUGCAAUUAUGAUCCAUUUAGUAUGUUGUAUUGUCUGUUAUUUGUAUGUGCCUGUUUUUUAAAAAUUGUUCCAACAUGGUUACCAUCUAGCAUUGCACUGAGUGUCUUUUUUUCCCUUGCUCAGCUAUACUAUAAAAAAAUAAAUAAAUAAAUAAAAACCUGACACCUGCAAGGGAGAUGAUGACAAUUCAUGUGUUAAUGUUUACUCAAGGACUUUAUGGAUUUAUUUUCAUCUUAAAAUGUUUGAAACAUUUAAAAUUGUAUUUUUAUAGUGGUUUCAUUGUGGAUUAAUUCCCACAAGAGUUAUCAUUUUGAAGAGUGUUGCAUCAUUUCAAUUGCAUUAUUAUUAAAAAAAAAAAAAAGAAGAAGAAAAAAAAAAAACUUUGGCCAUAGUGAGAAAGUUGGUAGAGAAGCAGUUACCUUCAUGGAUGAACAGUAAAGAUAACCAGAUAGUUAGUGAAAUUCUGACUUAUUUCAAAAGGUGCCUCUCUUCCAUUCUGUGAAAUUCUUUUUCUUUUUAAAUCUACCUGUCGUUUACAAAUGAUUGAAUUGUCUGAAUUUGCAAAAAAAAAAAAAAAGCAAAUAAAAGAAAUUGAUUACAGGAAUGCAAAGAAAAAAACUUUUACAAUUACAUCUUCCAUCAAAAAAAAAACAAAAAAAAACAACCUUUUCAAAUGAAAACGUACAGUAUGCUACUUGCUGAACUCUGGGAUUGUUUCAGUGUUGCAUUGUAUUAUGCUUAUGAAUUACAUAAUUACAUUAUUGUUCUUGUUAUGCCUACAUUUCUUUUAAUUUUAGUUUGUGUAAAAGCAACAGGAUUCUGUCACUGUCUUGCACACUGACAAUGGACUUGGAUAUUUUCUCAGGAUAAUUAGGGGUCCAGAGUUCCAGUUCCACUGUUAUUAUCAUGAGAAUUCAACAAAUCGAUCAAUGAAAGAGAUUAAAAAAAUAAAAUAAAAAAAAUUGUUGUUGAUGGAAAUCCAGCUCUAAGCACUGAAGGUUAUGGAUUUAAAAAUGUCUUUUUGAAUUUUAAUCCGUAGCAGACACACAUUUACCAAAUAAUAGAUUUGUAGUGAACCUAUGUAUUAUAUUUCUUGAAGUGGAGUACUUUCCAUUUGAAAUAUGUUUGUAUCUGUCGCUUUAUGUACAAAUACAGUUUUGUUUAGGUUGUGGAAGGACCUACCACUGUUUGAUUUUACCUUGCCUGAUGGUUCUUAACGAGGUCCAGUAAAAGAUGCUUGAUAUUCCAUCCUCUUGUCUUUACUUGUUUUAAAAAUUCAGUAGAGGCCUGUAUGCAGUCUGUGAAUUGUAGAUCAACAUACAACUUGAACUCUUACUAGAUUGUCUUACAAGGUUUUGAGUGUGGGAUGAAAGUUAAUUCUCCAUUUAGGUUUAGCACUAGAUGCAGAAAUAAGAUGUUAUGAAAGGAUUAAGAAUCUAUGCACAAGUUUGAGUGGACAGUAUGUCCGGAUACGCUAUUCUUGCAAGGAUCUUUUUGGUGGGUUUCUUUGUACGAGUUUUUAUUUGAAUCAGCAGAUAUUAAAGUGUCAGCACCAUGCUCUGUGUCUCUCAACCAAGGAGUAUCAUCAACCAAGCACUGUGCGUUUAUGCAAAUCUCUGACAUUCUGGUGUUUAAAUGGGAUGAUUGGUUUUGAAAGGGAAUUUAACUGUUUCUCUUUAUUGUUCAGCUAUUAAGAACAUGACUGUACUGAGAUCUAACAAUGUUGCUGACUUUUAAAUGUUUUUUUUUCUUCUUCUUUUUUCUCUUUCCCUUAAAAUGGAUAGUUGACACACAAAUGAAAAUCCUGUCGCCAUUUACUCACCCUCAAGUAGUUCCAAAUCUGUAUGAGUUUCUUCUGGUGAACACAAAAGAACAGUUGCUGUUGCUGGUAGCCAUUGACUUCUUUUGUUCCAUUUUUUAUUCUUCUUCUCUCACUAUACUGUGGAGGUCAGUGGCUACCAACAACUGUUUGGUUACCUGCAUUCUUCAAAAUAUCUUCUUCUGCAUUCAACAGAAGAAAGAAAUUCACACAGGUUUGGAACAACAAAAUUUUCAUUUUUGGGUGAAAUAUCCUUUUAAUAGAAUGUGAUCAUUUGAGGCCUUUCCAUGUGGUAUGGAGAUUAUUUCAGCCUAUAUUAAUAAACAGCAUUUUCCUCUUG